GGAGGAAAAGAAACCAACAGGGAUUGCCUCAGUAACGGCGAGUGAAGCGGCAAAAGCUCAAAUUUGAAAUCUAGCACUUUCAGUGUUCGAGUUGUAAUUUGAAGAAGGUAACUUUGGUUUUGGCUCUUGUCUAUGUUCCUUGGAACAGGACGUCACAGAGGGUGAGAAUCCCGUGCGAUGAGAUGCCCAAUUCCAUGUAAAGUGCUUUCGAAGAGUCGAGUUGUUUGGGAAUGCAGCUCUAAGUGGGUGGUAAAUUCCAUCUAAAGCUAAAUAUUGGCGAGAGACCGAUAGCGAACAAGUACAGUGAUGGAAAGAUGAAAAGAACUUUGAAAAGAGAGUGAAAAAGUACGUGAAAUUGUUGAAAGGGAAGGGCUUGAGAUCAGACUUGGUAUUUUGCGUUCCCUUCCUUUUUGGUUGGGUUCCUCGCAGUUUACUGGGCCAGCAUCGGUUUGGAUGGUAGGAUAAUGACAUUGGAAUGUAGCUUUACUUCGGUGAAGUGUUAUAGACUUUGUUGAUACUGCCUAUCUAGACCGAGGACUGCGUCUUUGACUAGGAUGCUGGCGUAAUGAUCUUAAGCCGCCCGUCUUGAAACACGGACCA
This 600-nucleotide ribosomal RNA is filed under the name Dujonia zeylanoides. RNAcentral's name for it is "eukaryotic LSU rRNA". It matches the Rfam family "Eukaryotic large subunit ribosomal RNA", at positions 52 to 668 of the family's 3401-position model. Lineage: Eukaryota; Fungi; Ascomycota; Pichiomycetes; Serinales; Debaryomycetaceae. The record is from RNAcentral.